Ribosomal RNA from Pteropus vampyrus (large flying fox), 120 nucleotides. NCBI's taxonomy places the organism in Eukaryota, Metazoa, Chordata, Mammalia, Chiroptera, Pteropodidae. The record is from Ensembl.
AAGUACAAUUAAAAUUAUAUUUUACUAGCCCGAUCCCUUCUGAUCUUGGAAGCUAAGCAAGGUUGGGCCUGAUUAGUACUUGGAUGGGAGACCACCUAGAAAGAUCAGGUGCUGUAGGUG